This 289-nucleotide long non-coding RNA is filed under the name Actinidia chinensis (golden kiwifruit). RNAcentral's name for it is "long non-coding RNA (ACHI_LNC000237)". Lineage: Eukaryota; Viridiplantae; Streptophyta; Magnoliopsida; Ericales; Actinidiaceae. The record is from RNAcentral.
AGUGUAUGAGCCCGCGGCACGCUAGUUUAGUUACCAUAUAAUAUUUUGGGUACUUUUUUUAGUGUAUAUGCAAUAAUGCUAUUUUAGUGUGAAAAAUAAUUUCUGCACUCCAAUUUUAUUUUCUGCACUCUAUUUUUUGAUUUUUGUACUCCAUUUACCAUAUAUGUGCAAGGAUCAAAAAUUAAAAUGACGCAAGAAUAUAAAACAAAAACAAAGUAAUUAAAAUUAUACCUUUUGAUUCUCUUGGAUAUCAGUAGCUUACAAGAAAGAGAAAUUAUACAAGAGAGAG